GGGGAAUUUUGGACAAUGGGCGCAAGCCUGAUCCAGCCAUUCCGCGUGCAGGAUGAAGGCCUUCGGGUUGUAAACUGCUUUUGUACGGAACGAAAAGGCUCUGGUUAAUACCUGGGGCUCAUGACGGUACCGUAAGAAUAAGCACCGGCUAACUACGUGCCAGCAGCCGCGGUAAUACGUAGGGUGCAAGCGUUAAUCGGAACUACUGGGCGUAAAGCGUGCGCAGGCGGUUGUGUAAGACAGAUGUGAAAUCCCCGGGCUCAACCUGGGAACUGCAUUUGUGACUGCACAGCUGGAGUACGGCAGAGGGGGAUGGGAUUCCGCGUGUAGCAGUGAAAUGCGUAGAUAUGCGGAGGAACACCGAUGGCGAAGGCAAUCCCCUGGGCCUGUACUGACGCUCAUGCACGAAAGCGUGGGGAGCAAAC
Molecule: ribosomal RNA, 425 nt
Filed under: uncultured bacterium
Lineage: Bacteria
Description: bacterial SSU rRNA
Rfam family: Bacterial small subunit ribosomal RNA
Source: RNAcentral